GCUGGCCUUCCGAGGCAUGUGCACGCCCUGCUCAUCCACUCUACACCUGUGCACUUACUGUAGGUUGGCGUGGGUUUCUAGCCUCCGGGUUGGAAGCAUUCUGCCGGCCUAUGUACACUACAAACUCUUAAAGUAUCAGAAUGUAAACGCGUCUAACGCAUCUUAAUACAACUUUCAGCAACGGAUCUCUUGGCUCUCGCAUCGAUGAAGAACGCAGCGAAAUGCGAUAAGUAAUGUGAAUUGCAGAAUUCAGUGAAUCAUCGAAUCUUUGAACGCACCUUGCGCUCCUUGGUAUUCCGAGGAGCAUGCCUGUUUGAGUGUCAUGAAAUUCUCAACCCAUAAAUCCUUGUGAUCUAUGGGCUUGGAUUUGGAGGCUUGCUGGCCCUAGCGGUCGGCUCCUCUUGAAUGCAUUAGCUUGAUUCCGUGCGGAUCGGCUCUCAGUGUGAUAAUUGUCUACGCUGUGACCGUGAAGCGUUUUGGCAAGCUUCUAACCGUCCAUUAGGACAAUUUUAUAACAUCUGACCUCAAAUCAGGUAGGACUACCCGCUGAACUUAAGCAUAUCAAU
This 566-nucleotide ribosomal RNA is filed under the name Trametes hirsuta. Its description in RNAcentral is "eukaryotic LSU rRNA". The stretch from base 170 to 323 matches the Rfam family "5.8S ribosomal RNA". The record is from RNAcentral. Lineage: Eukaryota; Fungi; Basidiomycota; Agaricomycetes; Polyporales; Polyporaceae.